This 368-nucleotide unclassified non-coding RNA is filed under the name soil metagenome. RNAcentral's name for it is "partial contains 5.8S ribosomal RNA, internal transcribed spacer 2, and large subunit ribosomal RNA". The stretch from base 1 to 120 matches the Rfam family "5.8S ribosomal RNA", at positions 35 to 154 of the family's 154-position model. The record is from RNAcentral.
GAUGAAGAACGUAGUGAAAUGCGAUAAGUAAUGUGAAUUGCAGAAUUCAGUGAACCAUCGAAUUUUUGAACGCACAUUGCGCCCGGCAGUAAUCUGCCGGGCAUGCCUGUCCGAGCGUCAUUUCUGCCCUCGAGCGAGUCCAGCAUCUAGGUGCUGGGCCCGCCCGGCGUUGGGGCACUACGGGAAGCCCUGUGCUGUCCCCCGUAGGCCCCGAAAUGAAGUGGCGGUCCUGCCGCGGCGCCCCCUGCGUAGUAUAACAGCUCGCUUCGGGACCCGGUGGAGGCCUGCCGUCAAACCUUACUCUCUAAGUUUGACCUCGGAUCAGGUAGGGUUACCCGCUGAACUUAAGCAUAUCAAUAAGCGGAGGA